This 440-nucleotide ribosomal RNA is filed under the name uncultured bacterium. RNAcentral describes it as "partial 16S ribosomal RNA". It matches the Rfam family "Bacterial small subunit ribosomal RNA", at positions 338 to 795 of the family's 1533-position model. The record is from RNAcentral.
CCUACGGGUGGCAGCAGUAGGGAAUAUUGCUCAAUGGGGGAAACCCUGAAGCAGCAACGCCGCGUGGAGGACGAAGGUUUUCGGAUUGUAAACUCCUUUUGUUAGAGAAGAUAAUGACGGUAGCUAACGAAUAAGCACCGGCUAAAUCCGUGCCAGCAGCCGCGGUAAUACGGAGGGGGCAAGCGUUACUCGGAUUCACUGGGCGUAAAGAGAGCGUAGGCGGGAUAGCAAGUCAGAUGUGAAAUCCUAUGGCUUAACCAUAGAACUGCAUUUGAAACUGUUAUUGUAGAGUUUGGGAGAGGUAGGUGGAAUUCGUGGUGUAGGGGUAAAAUCCGUAGAGAUCACGAGGAAUACUCAUUGCGAAGGCGACCUGCUAGACCAUAACUGACGCUGAUGCGCGAAAGCGUGGGGAGCAAACAGGAUUAGAUACCCGUGUAGUC